RNAcentral lists this long non-coding RNA (290 nucleotides) under Musa acuminata (dwarf banana). RNAcentral describes it as "long non-coding RNA (MACU_LNC008267)". The record is from RNAcentral. Lineage: Eukaryota; Viridiplantae; Streptophyta; Magnoliopsida; Zingiberales; Musaceae.
GAGGUGUGGGGUGUCGGGUAGGAGAAGGGAAGAAGAGGAGAAGAAGAAGGAGAAGAAGAAGAAGAGGAAGAGAAGAAGUAGAAGCGGGUGAAGAGGCGACACCUCUGUUUCCUGCAGGAGGAAACAGAGGAGAGGAAGUGCUGUUCGUCGGGGAGAAGAAGGGGAGGAAGGAGAAGAAGAGAAGAAGAAGAAAGGAAGGAGAAGGAAGAUGAGAAGGGAAAGAAGUCGCUGUGGCUGCAGCUGUGGCAGGGAAAGAGGAAGAGGAAGGAAGAAGGGAAGGAGAGGAAGAN